Molecule: ribosomal RNA, 775 nt
Filed under: uncultured Neocallimastigales
Lineage: Eukaryota; Fungi; Neocallimastigomycota; Neocallimastigomycetes; Neocallimastigales
Description: partial large subunit ribosomal RNA
Rfam family: Eukaryotic large subunit ribosomal RNA (bases 4-665)
Source: RNAcentral
GUACACGCUGUGACUAGCAUAUCAAUAAGCGGAGGAAAAGAAACUAACAAGGAUUCCCUUAGUAACGGCGAGUGAAGCGGGAAGAGCUCAAAUUUGAAAUCUUGCAAGGUUUACCUUUCACGAAUUGUAGUUUAAAGAAGUGUUUUCUGUUACGAUCGUAAUAUAAGUUCUUUGGAAUAGGACAUCACAGAGGGUGAGAAUCCCGUCUAUGAUUGCGAUUUGUAGCUUUGUGAUUACACUUUCAAAGAGUCGGGUUGUUUGGGAAUGCAGCCCAAAACGGGAGGUAAAUUUCUUCUAAGGCUAAAUAUUGGCGAGAGACCGAUAGCGAACAAGUACCGUGAGGGAAAGAUGAAAAGAACUUUGAAAAGAGAGUUAAAUAGUACGUGAAAUUGUCAAAAGGGAAGCGUUUAACACCAGUGUUGUUUUCUGAAAAUCAACCUCUGUUAGCUUUAUGCAUGUUUGUUUAGACCUAAUCAGCUAUCUUUCAUGUUCUAUUGUUUGCAGUGGUGCACUUUUCAGUUUACAGGGUCAACAUCAGUUUUUUUUUACCGUAAAAAAGUUAAAGAAAGGUAGCUCAUGGCUCCGGUCGUGAGUGUUAUAGUCUUUUUCCUAUGCGGUAGGAGAGACUGAGGUCUGCAGUGUAGGCUAUUUGGCUAGAUACUCAGGUGCUAUGUGAUACCAUUUCAUAAACAACUUGCUGAUUAUGUUUUGUCUAUUGCAUACUCGCUUGUACUAUCAUACCUACGCUUAGGAUGUUGAGUAGCGACAUACGCAC